Molecule: long non-coding RNA, 293 nt
Organism: Populus euphratica (Euphrates poplar)
Lineage: Eukaryota; Viridiplantae; Streptophyta; Magnoliopsida; Malpighiales; Salicaceae
Exons: 2
Source: RefSeq, a predicted model, not a curated record
AGAAUUCUGUUGCCGCUGUGAUUUCUCGGGCACCCGCCAUUACACUGGACCUGUACAAAUUCACGAAACUAUAUGGGGGGAAAAAACAGAGACAAGACAGGAAAAGAGUGUGUGUGUGUGUAUAGAAAGCAGAACAUGAAGAAUCAUUGGCUAACCUAUAGCUACAAUUUGCAGGUUGAGAGAGUGCUUGGGCUUAGGGUUUUGUGUGUGUAAGUAAACCCUACUCUCAGAGUAAAGUUGAGAGAGAGAGAGACAGAGAGUCUAUUUUUCUAUUUUCAAAAUAUUUUUUAAAA